RNAcentral lists this ribosomal RNA (467 nucleotides) under uncultured bacterium. Its description in RNAcentral is "partial 16S ribosomal RNA". It matches the Rfam family "Bacterial small subunit ribosomal RNA", at positions 28 to 507 of the family's 1533-position model. The record is from RNAcentral.
GACGAACGCUGGCGGCGUGCUUAACACAUGCAAGUCGAACGGAAAGGCCCUGCUUUUGUGGGGUGCUCGAGUGGCGAACGGGUGAGUAACACGUGAGUAACCUGCCCUUGACUUUGGGAUAACUUCAGGAAACUGGGGCUAAUACCGGAUAGGAGCUCCUGCUGCAUGGCGGGGGUUGGAAAGUUUCGGCGGUUGGGGAUGGACUCGCGGCUUAUCAGCUUGUUGGUGGGGUAGUGGCUUACCAAGGCUUUGACGGGUAGCCGGCCUGAGAGGGUGACCGGCCACAUUGGGACUGAGAUACGGCCCAGACGCCUACGGGGGGAAGCAGGGGGGAAUAUUCCACAAGGGGCGGAAGCCUGAUGCAGAAACGCCGCGUGCGGGAUGACGGCCUUCGGGUUGAAACCGCUUUCGCCUGUGACGAAGCGUGAGUGACGGUAAUGGGUAAAGAAGCACCGGCUAACUACGUG